GGGAAUUUUGGGCAAUGGGCGAAAGCCUGACCCAGCACCGCCGCGUGAGGGAUGAAGUAUUUCGGUAUGUAAACCUCGAAAGAAUGGGAAGAAUAAAUGACGGUACCAUUUAUAAGCUCCGGCUAACUACGUGCCAGCAGCCGCGGUAAUACGUAGGGAGCAAGCGUUGUUCGGAUUUACUGGGCGUAAAGGGCGCGUAGGCGGCGCGGUAAGUCACUUGUGAAAUCUCUGAGCUUAACUCAGAACGGCCAAGUGAUACUGCUGUGCUAGAGUGCGGAAGAGGCAACCGGAAUUCUUGGUGUAGCGGUGAAAUGCGUAGAUAUCAAGAGGAACACCGGAGGCGAAGGCGGGUUGCUGGGCCGACACUGACGCUGAUGCGCGAAAGCCAGGGGAGCAAACG
This 400-nucleotide ribosomal RNA is filed under the name uncultured bacterium. RNAcentral describes it as "bacterial SSU rRNA". It matches the Rfam family "Bacterial small subunit ribosomal RNA", at positions 357 to 774 of the family's 1533-position model. The record is from RNAcentral.